RNAcentral lists this transfer RNA (82 nucleotides) under Bacteroidota bacterium. RNAcentral's name for it is "Bacteroidetes bacterium (activated sludge metagenome) tRNA-Leu". It matches the Rfam family "tRNA". From Rfam's summary of the family: Transfer RNA (tRNA) molecules are approximately 80 nucleotides in length. Their secondary structure includes four short double-helical elements and three loops (D, anti-codon, and T loops). Lineage: Bacteria; Pseudomonadati; Bacteroidota. The record is from RNAcentral. RNAcentral also lists the same sequence under 2 other names.
GCCCGGGUGGCGAAAUUGGUAGACGCACCAUCUUGAGGGGGUGGCGCCAAUAGGUGUACGAGUUCGAAUCUCGUCCCGGGCA